CGGUAGGAGUUUCGGAUGACAGUUAGCAGUGUGUAUGUGUAUCUCAGGCUGUAUCUACCCCACUUGUGCAGUCAGAGAUGGGAGGAUCUCUACCUGAUGCAGCUCUAAUGGCAGAUGAAGCUGGGUAUGAGCAUGGAGGCACCCCUAUUAUACUAUUGGUGGACUAGUAGCAUCCGUAACUAAUAGUCUUCAGUAUAUGGUAGGGGCAAGUCUGCAUAUCAAUAUCCAUAU
This 231-nucleotide long non-coding RNA is filed under the name Elaeis guineensis (African oil palm). RNAcentral describes it as "long non-coding RNA (EGUI_LNC060407)". The record is from RNAcentral. Lineage: Eukaryota; Viridiplantae; Streptophyta; Magnoliopsida; Arecales; Arecaceae.